UAGGAGGAAAGGGACCUGUGCAGGUGGAGU
Molecule: non-coding RNA, 30 nt
Filed under: Mus musculus (house mouse)
Lineage: Eukaryota; Metazoa; Chordata; Mammalia; Rodentia; Muridae
Source: RNAcentral